Molecule: ribosomal RNA, 876 nt
Filed under: uncultured crenarchaeote
Lineage: Archaea; Thermoproteati; Thermoproteota
Description: bacterial SSU rRNA
Rfam family: Archaeal small subunit ribosomal RNA
Source: RNAcentral
ACCUGACUGCUAUCGGAUUGAUACUAAGCCAUGCGAGUCAUUGUAGCAAUACAAGGCAUACGGCUCAGUAACGCGUAGUCAACCUAACCUAUGGACGGGAAUAACCUCGGGAAACUGAGAAUAAUGCCCGAUAGAACAUUAUGCCUGGAAUGGUUUAUGUUCCAAAUGAUUUAUCGCCAUAGGAUGGGACUGCGGCCUAUCAGUUUGUUGGUGAGGUAAUGGCCCACCAAGACUAUUACAGGUACGGGCUCUGAGAGGAGUAGCCCGGAGAUGGGUACUGAGACACGGACCCAGGCCCUAUGGGGCGCAGCAGGCGAGAAAACUUUGCAAUGUGCGAAAGCACGACAAGGUUAAUCCGAGUGAUUUCUGCUAAAGAGAUCUUUUGUUAGUUCUAGAAACACUAACGAAUAAGGGGUGGGCAAGUUCUGGUGUCAGCCGCCGCGGUAAAACCAGCACCUCAAGUGGUCAGGAUGAUUAUUGGGCCUAAAGCAUCCGUAGCCGGCUCUGUAAGUUUUCGGUUAAAUCUGUACGCUCAACGUACAGGCUGCCGGGAAUACUGCAGAACUAGGGAGUGGGAGAGGUAGACGGUACUCGGUAGGAAGUGGUAAAAUGCUUUGAUCUAUCGAUGACCACCUGUGGCGAAGGCGGUCUACCAGAACACGUCCGACGGUGAGGGAUGAAAGCUGGGGGAGCAAACCGGAUUAGAUACCCGGGUAGUCCCAGCUGUAAACUAUGCAAACUCAGUGAUGCAUUGGCUUGUGGCCAAUGCAGUGCUGCAGGGAAGCCGUUAAGUUUGCCGCCUGGGAAGUACGUACGCAAGUAUGAAACUUAAAGGAAUUGGCGGGGGAGCACCACAAGGGGUGAAGCCUGCGGUUC